GUGAACGCCCUCACGGGCUUAUACUAUUCCAAACCUCUGUGAACCGUGCCCUUCGGGGCUAUUUUACAAACAUGGUGUAAUGAACGUCAUAUAUCAUUACAAAACA
RNAcentral lists this unclassified non-coding RNA (106 nucleotides) under soil metagenome. Its description in RNAcentral is "partial internal transcribed spacer 1". The record is from RNAcentral.